Non-coding RNA from Podarcis lilfordi (Lilford's wall lizard), 105 nucleotides. NCBI's taxonomy places the organism in Eukaryota, Metazoa, Chordata, Lepidosauria, Squamata, Lacertidae. The record is from the annotation of a GenBank genome assembly.
GGGGGCCCCCGGUGGGGCUGGACUACAACUCCCAUCACCCCCAGCCUCGCCAGGCCAGGCCUCAGGGAUGAUGGGAGUUGUAGUCCAGCCCCACCGGGGGCCCCC